This 441-nucleotide ribosomal RNA is filed under the name uncultured bacterium. RNAcentral's name for it is "partial 16S ribosomal RNA". It matches the Rfam family "Bacterial small subunit ribosomal RNA", at positions 338 to 795 of the family's 1533-position model. The record is from RNAcentral.
CCUACGGGAGGCUGCAGUGGGGGAUAUUGCACAAUGGGGGAAACCCUGAUGCAGCGACGCCGCGUGAGUGAAGAAGUAUUUCGGUAUGUAAAGCUCUAUCAGCAGGGGAGAAAAAAGACGGUACCUGCCUAAGAAGCCCCGGCUAACUACGUGCCAGCAGCCGCGGUAAUACGGAGGGGGCAAGCGUUAUCCGGAUUUACUGGGGGUAAAGGGAGCGUAGACGGCAAUACAAGUCGGAAGGGGAAUACGCGGGCUCAACCUGGGAACUGCUUUGGAAACUGUAUGGCUGGAGUGCUGGAGAGGUAAGCGGAAUGCCGGGUGUAGCGGUGAAAUGCGUAGAUAUUAGGAGGAACACCGGUGGCGAAGGCGGCGUACUGUACAGUAACUGACGUUGAGGCUCGAAAGCGUGGGGAGCAAACAGGAUUAGAUACCCGUGUAGUC